This 432-nucleotide ribosomal RNA is filed under the name uncultured bacterium. RNAcentral's name for it is "partial 16S ribosomal RNA". It matches the Rfam family "Bacterial small subunit ribosomal RNA", at positions 29 to 506 of the family's 1533-position model. The record is from RNAcentral.
AACGAACGCUGGCGGCAUGCCUAACACAUGCAAGUCGAACGAGACCUUCGGGUCUAGUGGCGCACGGGUGCGUAACGCGUGGGAACCUGCCCUUAGGUUCGGAAUAACUCCCCGAAAGGGGUGCUAAUACCGGAUAAUGUCUUCGGACCAAAGAUUUAUCGCCUUUGGAUGGGCCCGCGUUGGAUUAGCUAGUUGGUAGGGUAAAAGCCUACCAAGGCGACGAUCCAUAGCUGGUCUGAGAGGAUGAUCAGCCACACUGGGACUGAGACACGGCCCAGACUCCUACGGGAGGCAGCAGUGGGGAAUAUUGGACAAUGGGCGAAAGCCUGAUCCAGCAAUGCCGCGGGAGUGAUGAAGGCCUUAGGGUGGUAAAGCUCUUUUACCCGGGAUGAUAAUGACAGGACCGGGAGAAUAAGCUCCGGCGAACUCCGU